This 433-nucleotide ribosomal RNA is filed under the name uncultured bacterium. RNAcentral describes it as "partial 16S ribosomal RNA". It matches the Rfam family "Bacterial small subunit ribosomal RNA", at positions 29 to 507 of the family's 1533-position model. The record is from RNAcentral.
AACGAACGCUGGCGGCAUGCCUAACACAUGCAAGUCGAACGAGACCUUCGGGUCUAGUGGCGCACGGGUGCGUAACGCGUGGGAACCUGCCCUUAGGUUCGGAAUAACCCUCCGAAAGGGGUGCUAAUACCGGAUAAUGUCUUCGGACCAAAGAUUUAUCGCCUUUGGAUGGGCCCGCGUUGGAUUAGCUAGUUGGUAGGGUAAAAGCCUACCAAGGCGACGAUCCAUAGCUGGUCUGAGAGGAUGAUCAGCCACACUGGGACUGAGACACGGCCCAGACUCCUACGGGAGGCAGCAGUGGGGAAUAUUGGACAAUGGGCGAAAGCCUGAUCCAGCAAUGCCGCGUGAGUGAUGAAGGCCUUAGGGUUGUAAAGCUCUUUUACCCGGGAUGAUAAUGACAGUACCGGGAGAAUAAGCACCGGCUAACUCCGUG